CCCUUAGAUGUUCUGGGCCGCACGCGCGCUACACUGAUGAAUGCAACGAGCUCUACCCUUGACCGAAAGGCCCGGGUAAACUUGUGAAACUUCAUCGUGAUGGGGAUAGAUUAUUGCAAUUAUUAAUCUUCAACGAGGAAUUCCUAGUAAGCGCGAGUCAUCAGCUCGCGUUGAUUACGUCCCUGCCCUUUGUACACACCGCCCGUCGCUCCUACCGAUUGAAUGGUCCGGUGAAAUCUUCGGAUUGCUGACCAAGAUCCAGCAAUGGAGCUUGGUUGCGAGAAGUUGAUUAAACCUUAUUAUUUAGAGGAAGGAGAAGUCGUAACA
RNAcentral lists this ribosomal RNA (327 nucleotides) under uncultured eukaryote. RNAcentral describes it as "partial 18S ribosomal RNA". It matches the Rfam family "Eukaryotic small subunit ribosomal RNA", at positions 1470 to 1796 of the family's 1831-position model. The record is from RNAcentral.